RNAcentral lists this long non-coding RNA (426 nucleotides) under Oncorhynchus mykiss (rainbow trout). Its description in RNAcentral is "lncRNA (ENSOMYG00000048596.1)". Lineage: Eukaryota; Metazoa; Chordata; Actinopteri; Salmoniformes; Salmonidae. The record is from RNAcentral.
CUGAUUCUAUAGGUCAGAGACGUGUUGUGUUAGCUGUCUGAUUCUGCAGGUCAGAGAGACGUGUUUUAUCUGAUUCUGCAGGUCAGAGAGACGUGUUUUGUCUGAUUCUACAGGUCAGAGAGACGUGUUUUGUCUGAUUCUACAGGUCAGAGAGACGUGUUUUGUCUGAUUCUACAGGUCAGAGACGUGUUUUGUCUGAUUCUACAGGUCAGAGACGUGUUUUGUCUGAUUCUACAGGUCAGAGAGACGUGUUUUGUCUGAUUCUACAGGUCAGAGAGACGUGUUUUGUUAGCAGAUUUUGAAGACCUCCUUGCUCACCUCCAAUUUACUCAUGUCAAAAAAUUGUAACGAUAACUCUUCUAUAUACAGGAAGUACCAUUACUGAGUCUAUAUACAGGAAUACCAGGUAAUAACAUGGUUAUAUAC